Molecule: non-coding RNA, 45 nt
Filed under: Schistosoma mattheei
Lineage: Eukaryota; Metazoa; Platyhelminthes; Trematoda; Strigeidida; Schistosomatidae
Source: RNAcentral
AUGCAGCUGACGAGUUCAAAAUAGGACGAAACGCAUGUUGUGGAU